AAAGUCAGAGAAAACUACUCCAUACACGUCUCAGAAUCUCCAUUCAACAUCAGCCGGGGUGUGAUCGCGUAGCAAGGACACCAGUGCCAUUAAAUUAACAAUAAAAUAGUGAAAAACAAACCUAUUUAACACAUUAACCUAUGAAAUGUAAAAUUUAAGUGUCAUUGUAACAAAAACAAAUGAAUCUGUGAAAAAAAAUCAACAUAUACAACCUCCUUUCGUUGGACUAGAUAUAAUGAUAGCUUAGACAAUGGACGACAGAGCUUUCGAGAUGAUUAAAAACGGUUUUUGUUUUCACAAAGCUGCUUGAAUUUGGAAGUUUCCAAGGUGUGCGAUCAAGAGGACGCGAUGCACCCGGCCGCCAGGUGACGCUGCCGCUUACACCCGCGGAACAUGUCAUGGGACUCAAUCGAGUCGCGCGACUUCCUCGGCGGGGUGCCGGCGCACCAACUAUCGGCAACGCGACUGCUCAGUUCCCCUGACCCGUCACGACACCAUCUUGAAGAUCCACCAGACGUGUUCCCGUUCUCUGAAGAGUACCCAACGGAAGUGCGGAAUGGGGCGAUCCGCUGGGGCUCCAGGUUCGGUCCCGCGCACCGCCCACCCGCCGGCGUCCUCGAAUGCUUCCGAAUCUGCCGUUCUCGCCUUGAUCAGUAUCUUGCGAGGCGAAAG
This 672-nucleotide unclassified non-coding RNA is filed under the name Melitaea cinxia (Glanville fritillary). Its description in RNAcentral is "misc RNA ENSMCXG00005005033.1". Lineage: Eukaryota; Metazoa; Arthropoda; Insecta; Lepidoptera; Nymphalidae. The record is from RNAcentral.